UAUGAGAGUUUGAUCCUGGCUCAGGAUGAACGCUGGCGGUGUGCCUAAUACAUGCAAGUCGAACGCGUUGGCCCAAUUGAUUGAUGGUGCUUGCACCUGAUUGAUUUUGGUCGCCAACGAGUGGCGGACGGGUGAGUAACACGUAGGUAACCUGCCCAGAAGCGGGGGACAACAUUUGGAAACAGAUGCUAAUACCGCAUAACAGCGUUGUUCGCAUGAACAACGCUUAAAAGAUGGCUUCUCGCUAUCACUUCUGGAUGGACCUGCGGUGCAUUAGCUUGUUGGUGGGGUAACGGCCUACCAAGGCGAUGAUGCAUAGCCGAGUUGAGAGACUGAUCGGCCACAAUGGGACUGAGACACGGCCCAUACUCCUACGGGAGGCAGCAGUAGGGAAUCUUCCACAAUGGGCGCAAGCCUGAUGGAGCAACACCGCGUGAGUGAAGAAGGGUUUCGGCUCGUAAAGCUCUGUUGUUAAAGAAGAACACGUAUGAGAGUAACUGUUCAUACGUUGACGGUAUUUAACCAGAAAGUCACGGCUAACUACGUGCCAGCAGCCGCGGUAAUACGUAGGUGGCAAGCGUUAUCCGGAUUUAUUGGGCGUAAAGAGAGUGCAGGCGGUUUUCUAAGUCUGAUGUGAAAGCCUUCGGCUUAACCGGAGAAGUGCAUCGGAAACUGGAUAACUUGAGUGCAGAAGAGGGUAGUGGAACUCCAUGUGUAGCGGUGGAAUGCGUAGAUAUAUGGAAGAACACCAGUGGCGAAGGCGGCUACCUGGUCUGCAACUGACGCUGAGACUCGAAAGCAUGGGUAGCGAACAGGAUUAGAUACCCUGGUAGUCCAUGCCGUAAACGAUGAGUGCUAGGUGUUGGAGGGUUUCCGCCCUUCAGUGCCGGAGCUAACGCAUUAAGCACUCCGCCUGGGGAGUACGACCGCAAGGUUGAAACUCAAAGGAAUUGACGGGGGCCCGCACAAGCGGUGGAGCAUGUGGUUUAAUUCGAAGCUACGCGAAGAACCUUACCAGGUCUUGACAUCUUGCGCCAACCCUAGAGAUAGGGCGUUUCCUUCGGGAACGCAAUGACAGGUGGUGCAUGGUCGUCGUCAGCUCGUGUCGUGAGAUGUUGGGUUAAGUCCCGCAACGAGCGCAACCCUUGUUACUAGUUGCCAGCAUUAAGUUGGGCACUCUAGUGAGACUGCCGGUGACAAACCGGAGGAAGGUGGGGACGACGUCAGAUCAUCAUGCCCCUUAUGACCUGGGCUACACACGUGCUACAAUGGACGGUACAACGAGUCGCGAACUCGCGAGGGCAAGCAAAUCUCUUAAAACCGUUCUCAGUUCGGACUGCAGGCUGCAACUCGCCUGCACGAAGUCGGAAUCGCUAGUAAUCGCGGAUCAGCAUGCCGCGGUGAAUACGUUCCCGGGCCUUGUACACACCGCCCGUCACACCAUGAGAGUUUGUAACACCCAAAGUCGGUGGGGUAACCUUUUAGGAGCCAGCCGCCUAAGGUGGGACAGAUGAUUAGGGUGAAGUCGUAACAAGGUAGCCGUAGGAGAACCUGCGGCUGGAUCACCUCCUU
RNAcentral lists this ribosomal RNA (1572 nucleotides) under Limosilactobacillus fermentum. Its description in RNAcentral is "bacterial SSU rRNA". It matches the Rfam family "Bacterial small subunit ribosomal RNA". Lineage: Bacteria; Bacillati; Bacillota; Bacilli; Lactobacillales; Lactobacillaceae. The record is from RNAcentral.